AAUGAUACCCCCGGGAGAAAAGGGAGAAAUACCGGUAUUAAAUUCUGGAUGCAAUAAAAUGAAAGUCAGGUAUGCACCUUACAGCAGAAGUCUCUCCGAAAUGAGUACAGGAGUUAAUGGAACAUUCAAUUGAAUGGUUUGGACAAAGUA
This is a long non-coding RNA of Pristis pectinata (smalltooth sawfish), 150 nucleotides long. RefSeq lists it as uncharacterized. The record is from RefSeq and is a predicted model, not a curated record. Lineage: Eukaryota; Metazoa; Chordata; Chondrichthyes; Rhinopristiformes; Pristidae. The transcript is spliced from 3 exons.